This 885-nucleotide unclassified non-coding RNA is filed under the name Hevea brasiliensis (rubber tree). The record is from RNAcentral. Lineage: Eukaryota; Viridiplantae; Streptophyta; Magnoliopsida; Malpighiales; Euphorbiaceae.
CGAACUUUGAAUCCUAAGAUUUGCUUUUGAUUUCCUUUGAAUCCAUUUGAAUUUAUUUUCUUCUGAUUCUUCAUCCAUGGAGUGUAGAACUUUAGAUAUCAAUAUCAAGAGGGCCAAGGGCCUCAAGAACGUCAAUCUCUUCUCAACGAUGGAUGUAUACGCCGUCGUUUCGAUCUCCGGCGAUCCUCGUGGGAAGUCCAAGCAGAAGACUCCGGUAGCUAAAGACGGCGGCACGGAUCCUCACUGGAAUUAUCCGAUGAAGUUCACAAUCGAUGAGGCUGCCGCACAGAGCAAUCGGCUCAAUCUUAAGAUCAAAUUGGUUUCCGAUCGGAGUUUAGGCGAUAAGAAGAUCGGUAAGGUUAUUGUUCCGAUUAAGCAAUUGCUCGAUGAAAGUGCUAAAGGAGAUGAAGGAAAAUCCGAGAGAACCGCUACUUUCGGCGUCAGGACGAUGAGCGGAAAGGAAAAAGGUACCGUCGAAUUUUCGUAUAAAUUUGGGGAAAAAUACACGGUUCAGGCACCCCCGCCACCGCCUCCUGCUAUGAAAUCCGGUGAGCCGGUGACGGCUUAUCCUCAAGGUUAUCCUGGAUCUAGUUCCGGAUAUCCAGCCGGAGGUGCUUAUCCGCCUGCGCCAGGGACCGCUUAUGCGUAUCCGCCUCCACCGCAAGGAUACGGUUAUCCACCGCCUCCACAGGCUGGAUAUGCGUAUGGCGGUUACCCUCCGCCGCCGCAGCCGGGGUAUGGAUAUGCGCCGGUGCAUCAGCCACAGAGGCCGCAGAAGAGCGGUUUUGGCGGUAUGGCUUUGGGAGCUGGAGCUGGACUUCUCGGUGGUUUGUUGAUCGGCGAUAUGAUUUCAGAUGUGGGUGAAGUGGCGGCGUAUGAUGCUGG